UGGGGAUAUAGCUCAGUGGUAGAGCACUUGCCUGGCAAGCAUGGGGCCCUGGGUUCGAGCCCCAGUGCUAUAA
Peromyscus maniculatus bairdii (prairie deer mouse) is the source of this 73-nucleotide non-coding RNA. The record is from the annotation of a RefSeq genome assembly. Lineage: Eukaryota; Metazoa; Chordata; Mammalia; Rodentia; Cricetidae.